Molecule: ribosomal RNA, 253 nt
Filed under: uncultured bacterium
Lineage: Bacteria
Description: partial 16S ribosomal RNA
Rfam family: Bacterial small subunit ribosomal RNA
Source: RNAcentral
UACGUAGGGUGCAAGCGUUGUCCGGAAUUAUUGGGCGUAAAGGGCUCGUAGGCGGUCCAUCGCGUCGGGUGUGAAAAGCUGGGGCUUAACCCCAGUCCUGCUUCCGAUACGGGUGGACUAGAGGUAGGUAGGGGAGAGCGGAAUUCCUGGUGUAGCGGUGAAAUGCGCAGAUAUCAGGAGGAACACCGGUGGCGAAGGCGGAUCUCUGGGCCUUACCUGACGCUGAGGAGCGAAAGCAUGGGGAGCAAACAGG